This 485-nucleotide ribosomal RNA is filed under the name uncultured bacterium. Its description in RNAcentral is "bacterial SSU rRNA". It matches the Rfam family "Bacterial small subunit ribosomal RNA", at positions 31 to 507 of the family's 1533-position model. The record is from RNAcentral.
GAACGCUGGCGGCAUGCCUAACACAUGCAAGUCGAACGGUAACGCGGAGAGCUUGCUCUCUGGCGACGAGUGGCGGACGGGUGAGUAAUACUUAGGAAUCUGCCCAGUAGUGGGGGACAACAUUCGGAAACGGAUGCUAAUACCGCAUACGCACUACGGUGGAAAGUGGGGGAUCUUCGGACCUCACGCUAUUGGAUGAGCCUAAGUCGGAUUAGCUUGUUGGUGAGGUAAUGGCUCACCAAGGCGACGAUCCGUAGCUGGUCUGAGAGGACGAUCAGCCACACUGGGACUGAGACACGGCCCAGACUCCUACGGGAGGCAGCAGUGGGGAAUAUUGGACAAUGGGCGCAAGCCUGAUCCAGCAAUGCCGCGUGUGUGAAGAAGGCCUGCGGGUUGUAAAGCACUUUCAGUAGAGAAGAAAAGCCUAGGGUUAAUACCCCUGAGUCUUGACGUAACCUACAGAAGAAGCACCGGCUAACUCCGUG